RNAcentral lists this ribosomal RNA (849 nucleotides) under Colletotrichum gloeosporioides. RNAcentral describes it as "eukaryotic LSU rRNA". It matches the Rfam family "Eukaryotic large subunit ribosomal RNA", at positions 61 to 948 of the family's 3401-position model. The record is from RNAcentral. Lineage: Eukaryota; Fungi; Ascomycota; Sordariomycetes; Glomerellales; Glomerellaceae.
GAAACCAACAGGGAUUGCCUCAGUAACGGCGAGUGAAGCGCAACAGCUCAAAUUUGUAUCUGGCCCUAGGCCGAUUGUAAUUUGUAGAGGUUGUUUUGUGCGGUGCCUUCCAAGUUCCCUAGAACGGGACGCCAGAGAGGGUGAGAGCCCCGUACAGUUGGACACCAAGCCUUUGUAAAGCUCCUUCGACGAGUCGAGUAGUUUGGGAAUGCUGCUCAAAAUGGGAGGUAUAUUUUUUCUAAAGCUAAAUACCGGCCAGAGACCGAUAGCGCACAAGUAGAGUGAUCGAAAGAUGAAAAGCACUUUGAAAAGAGGGUUAAACAGCACGUGAAAUUGUUAAAAGGGAAGCGCUUGUGACCAGACUUGCGUCCGGUGAAUCACCCAGCUCUCGCGGCUGGGCACUUCGCCGGCUCAGGCCAGCAUCAGCUCGCUGUCGGGGACAAAAGCUUCAGGAACGUAGCUCUCUUCGGGGAGUGUUAUAGCCUGUUGCACAAUACCCUUCGGCGGGCUGAGGUAGCGCCUCCGCAAGGAUGCUGGCAUAAUGGUCAUCAGCGACCCGUCUUGAAACACGGACCAAGGAGUCAACCUUAUGUGCGAGUGUUCGGGUGUCAAACCCCUACGCGUAAUGAAAGUGAACGCAGGUGAGAGCUUCGGCGCAUCAUCGACCGAUCCUGAUGUUCUCGGAUGGAUUUGAGUAAGAGCAUAUAGGGUUGGACCCGAAAGAAGGUGAACUAUGCGUGUAUAGGGUGAAGCCAGAGGAAACUCUGGUGGAGGCUCGCAGCGGUUCUGACGUGCAAAUCGAUCGUCAAAUAUGCGCAUGGGGGCGAAAGACUAAUCGAACCUUCUAGU